GGGUCGAUUGACAGAAAAUCAAAUAUUUGAAGCCUGGACAACCAGCAUAGGACGGACGGUUUCAUCUUAAUCUUUUUUCGGGUAAGCACAGCUUUACAUUAAUUAGCAUGAUAAAUUUUUCUCAGUGUAUGUUAAAAUUUAGGGCUGGAAAUACGCUAUGCAACAGGUUAAUUAAUUUAGGGGUGAGUGAUCAAUUCUUGAGAUUCAUCAAGCCAU
Molecule: long non-coding RNA, 216 nt
Filed under: Elaeis guineensis (African oil palm)
Lineage: Eukaryota; Viridiplantae; Streptophyta; Magnoliopsida; Arecales; Arecaceae
Description: long non-coding RNA (EGUI_LNC040795)
Source: RNAcentral